GUAGGGAAUCUUCCACAAUGGACGAAAGUCUGAUGGAGCAACGCCGCGUGAACGAUGAAGGCUUUCGGGUCGUAAAGUUCUGUUGUAAGGGAAGAACAAGUGCCGCAGGCAAUGGCGGCACCUUGACGGUACCUUGCGAGAAAGCCACGGCUAACUACGUGCCAGCAGCCGCGGUAAUACGUAGGUGGCAAGCGUUGUACGGAAUUAUUGGGCGUAAAGCGCGCGCAGGCGGCCUCUUAAGUCUGAUGUGAAAGCCCCCGGCUCAACCGGGGAGGGCCAUUGGAAACUGGGAGGCUUGAGUAUAGGAGAGAAGAGUGGAAUUCCACGUGUAGCGGUGAAAUGCGUAGAGAUGUGGAGGAACACCAGUGGCGAAGGCGACUCUUUGGCCUAUAACUGACGCUGAGGCGCGAAAGCGUGGGGAGCAAACAGGAUUAGAAACCCGUGUAGUCC
This 450-nucleotide ribosomal RNA is filed under the name uncultured bacterium. Its description in RNAcentral is "partial 16S ribosomal RNA". It matches the Rfam family "Bacterial small subunit ribosomal RNA", at positions 354 to 796 of the family's 1533-position model. The record is from RNAcentral.